RNAcentral lists this ribosomal RNA (119 nucleotides) under Dufourea novaeangliae. The record is from RNAcentral. Lineage: Eukaryota; Metazoa; Arthropoda; Insecta; Hymenoptera; Halictidae.
GUCAACGAUCAAAUCAUGCUGAAUGCACUGGUUCUCGUUCGAUCACCGAAGUUAAGUAGCAUUGGGCGCGGUUAAGUACUUGGAUGGGUGACCGCUUGGGAACACUUGCGUUAUUUAUU